Molecule: long non-coding RNA, 3703 nt
Organism: Nicotiana tabacum (common tobacco)
Lineage: Eukaryota; Viridiplantae; Streptophyta; Magnoliopsida; Solanales; Solanaceae
Source: RefSeq, a predicted model, not a curated record
UGUCUUUCUUUAUAUUUUUAUUUCUAUCUUUAGGGUUCAAUUGGAUGAUUCAAAAUUGAAAGUCGCCAUAAUCCUUUUUGACCAAAUAAAACAAAAGGUUACCUUUGAUACCUUCUUGUUCCUUCUUCAUAUUCAAUUUCAAUAUAUUCAUCGGCUAGACUCAUUUAAAGUUCAGCUCAAAGUAUAUGUAUUUUUUCUUUUUCUUGAUUUUUUUCUUUGAAUUUUUUAAUGAUCAUGGUAUCUGGACCAAUUUACGCGCAAAAUAACUAAAUUUUGUAAAAAAAAAAAUUUGGCUUUGGAGUUAUUUGGGAAGAUUGGAAUAUUUGUAUCGUUUUGAUAUGUUUAUGAGUUUUGUUCAUGUGGGGUAUUAGCUAUAGUUAGGAAUUUUGCCUUGAAUUUGUGAAUUUGGGAUUCUGAAUCUUAUUAGAUUCAUAUCUUUUCCUCUUUUUGAAAUUUCCUUGGAAAAUAACCCUUCUUUUUCUCUAAGAAAAUUGGGGUUUUUUCUUUGCAUUUGUUUCUGGAAUUUAUUGUGAAGUCAUAGAACAUAAACUUGUGUUAUCAUAAUCUUGUGAAAAUAUUUUCAGUUUGUUUUGGUGAGAGUAUAGUCUCAAUUUUAGCUGCAUUUUGUUGUGAUCUUUUACUGAUUUUGCCACAAAAAUUGAUGAAAAGUUACUUUAAAUUAAAGUAUUGACCAAAGAUAACUGGUUGGGUCUAAAUCCUUUAAUUUGAAAUAAAUAUUACCUGUUAAACCAUUUAGUUGUUAACACUUUGCUUUGCUCCAUAAUUUUGGCAGUUGGUUUGCUUUGAAUUAUUUAUACUUAAGGUAUGUGAUCAGAGGUCAUGAAUCAUUAUUGUACAAACUGUUUUUCGUUUGGAUUAUCCUUGUCAAAAAUAAUUAUUGCCUUAUUAUCAUCUUUUAUGUUAAUGUAAAUUGUCUUCGAGCUCAAGUAUCUAUCUCUAUUAGUGGAUUAUGUGAAAAUUUUGAUUGAGUGGCAGUAAUUUUGACAACCUCCAGAUACAAUUUUUGUCUUCUGUCCACUUUCACAUGUUAUUGCAGCUUGUUAAUUACUUUAUUUUGGAGAAGGAGCUAUGCGAACUAGAGGUGAAAACAGGAUGGUUAUUCAACAACAUGAUGAUGCAGAUACGCGACCUUAUAUUGAACAAUUGAUGAAUGGACUGAACUGAUCUCAAGUACAAACACAUGAUAUUCAAUCUAAUAAAAUGAAUAAUUCUACCGAUACUAAGGUUCAACAGAAUGAUGAAUCAGGUAGUUCAGAGGAAAGAAAGGUUUGUGGACCCACAAUAUUAAAAGAUAUCCGGAAACUGCCACCAGGGAAUACAAUUGCUAUACAAUUCAAUAAUCGUAACCAACCAUAAGAAAAGAGGGUCGAAAGCUUGCUAGAUUUCUAGGCAUAAUCGCUAGAUCUCCAGAACUAACACCUCUAAAAAUAGAUGAUUGGAGAAACUUUGCCAAAGAUGAAAAGAAGAAACUGGUCGAGUUUGUGAAGAAGAAGUUCUCUAUCCCAACUCGUGGAGAAGCAUAUGUCAUAAAGUCAACAAGAAAGAAAUGGAAAGAUUACAAAUAUGACUUGAAAAAUGUGUAUACGACAAAAUAUAAGACGAAAGAUGCUUUGCUAAGAAAUAAACCAAGUCGUAUACCAUGAGAUCAAUGGACCGGUCUGGUCUCUUAUUGGCUUUCUGAUAAAGCGAAGGCUGAAAAUGGGGUAAAGCUUACAUGAGCACACAUUUUCAUAUUAACUCAUAAACAACGUAAGGAUGGUAGGCCACUGGAUGCUGAGUCUGCAAGGACAAUCGUCAUUAUGAACUAUUUCCAAUCAGAUUGAAGAUGUUGGCAGCAAUAGCAAUAAAGCUUGUCAGAACAGCCUGAACAAUCAUGACCACUGUGAUUAUCUUGUCUUUCCUUGAAGAUAAACCAUGGACAUCUCUGCAAAAAAUGAAUUAAAAUGUUCACCACAGAAAAAGAAUAAAUAAAGGCCUUAGAGCAAUUGCACCUGGCAGCAUGUGGUUGUUAGGUAGGUGGCCAAACGACCAAGUUGAGUUCAUUGGGCCUUAUCAGUCGAUAGGCUCACUGGGCCGGUAGAGGCACCCCGACUAUCUGAGUAUAACUUCAACAUUGAUGGCCUGAUCAGUGGACUAUUUGGACAGUUCUCAACUUGUUCAAGCAUUGUCUUAUCACCUGUAGCAGCUACACUAUCCAAAACAUCAACACAUUCAAGUUCUUACCUCUCAUCAUGCACAACAAUAGAUUUAAAGCCUGCUGGUUUUCAACUAGUUCAGCACGUGAAAUAGUUGCAUCAGUCAUAGUGUUAAUCUGUCCCCGUCCAUUAUUAAGUUGUUGCAUAGCUUUAUUACCUACGACAAACUUGAGUAUAUCGUUGAUCUGAAAUACGAUUAGCAGUAGGGUUUUUAUAAACCUAUUUUUCCCCAUCGCAAACCUGAGAAACCCUAUUCAAAGUUGUAGUUUUAGAGCCUGCUAUUUUUUCAAACAAUUCAGCAGGUACAACAACUGGUUGAUCAUGUACAUGCACCAACUGUUGUUGAACAAUAAUCUCAGUAGGGAAUUCCAAAACCUUUGUACCAUUUGUUGCCUUAGGAUCCUUCAAAUCAGCAGCUUGUUCAGUAGAUGAUUGAGCUCGAUUCCCAUUAGGAGUCGGAGCAUAAAGUACCUGCUGUCCAGCUGCAUAUAUUGAGAGUACCAUCUUUUAUCUUUCUCAUAUGUUGAUAGUUGUAUCUUAGAUUGUUCAUGUUCCUUAGUGAUCAGCUGUCUAGCUGCAUUAACGUAUUGCUCAGCAUCUAUAGUUAUAGAAGUCCUAGUUAAAUUUCGAUCAACCACAGGUACUGUUGCAUUCUUCAAAACAUGAGAACCCCUAACUACAGUAGCGUCAACAGGGCCUGUAGAAGAACUAGAACCAGUUGUUAUUCUCAAGAUGCCUCUCCAACAGAAUAUAAUAUAUGUCCAAGUUCUUUUCCUUUCACUCCUUCCCUUUUAUUGUUCUUCGAAACUAUUAUUGGCUUGCUAUAUGCACACAUAACAAAUGUGACUUCCAAUCUUGUAUGGCAAGGCGUAAUGUGUGGUUUGGGGUAAGCAUCUUGUGCUGCAGUCUCUGUUUCAUCACAGGUGACACAUUAUGUCUGUUAACCCAUGCCUUCACUGCUCUAUGCUCAUAUGUAAAGAGAUCAGCUGCUAUAUGUGGGUUUUCCAUUACUUCUUGCAAAGAUGUCGCGUGAUAAUAGACAAGGAAGCAGAAUGAGAUGCAUGUUAGUAGAGAAAAGGACUUUAUAAAUUAGCAGGUCAUCUCCUGGAAUUUGAAUUCUCACCUGAAGGAUUGGACAGAAGUACUGGCUAGGUUCCUGGAUAAGGUCAUGCAGUCUGAUGAUCGAUAAUUUAGCCGGUGGAAGAUUUCAAAAUGAUGAAGCAUUACAAAAAUUAUUUGAAGACCAUUAUUUGUUAGGAUUAGUUAUAUAAUGACAAUGCUACUUGCUUCAAUGUCACGACCCAAUUCCCGAACCCGGUCGUGAUGGCGCCUCUCUUGAAAACAAGGCCAGCCAGUCUAACCCAAUUCAUCUUUUAAAGCAGUUAAUUAACACAAAUAUAGAUAAUAAUGUGGAAGUCCAGCCCGACACAGUCCUAACCGGGCUGUCACAAGUCACGAGCAUCUAUAAGAAUGAAAUUUCCACUUUA